This 520-nucleotide ribosomal RNA is filed under the name uncultured archaeon. Its description in RNAcentral is "bacterial SSU rRNA". It matches the Rfam family "Archaeal small subunit ribosomal RNA", at positions 357 to 879 of the family's 1478-position model. The record is from RNAcentral.
AAGCGAAAGCUUGACAGGGCUAUCCCGAGUGCCAUCCGCUGAGGAAGGCUUUUACCCAGUCUAGAACGCUGGGGGAAUAAGGAGAGGGCAAGUCUGGUGUCAGCCGCCGCGGUAAUACCAGCUCUCCGAGUGGUGUGGAUGUUUAUUGGGCCUAAAGCAUCCGUAGCUGGCUAAGUUAGUCCCUUGUUAAAUCCACCGAAUUAAUCGUUGGAUUGCGGGGGAUACUGCUUGGCUAGGGGACGAGAGAGGCAGACGGUAUUUUCGGGGUAGGGGUGAAAUCCUAUAAUCCCGGGAAGACCACCAGUGGCGAAGGCUGUCUGCUAGAACGCGCCCGACGGUGAGGGAUGAAAGCUGGGGGAGCGAACCGGAUUAGAUACCCGGGUAGUCCCAGCUGUAAACGAUGCAGGCUAGGUGUUUGGACGGCCACGUGCCGUUCUAGUGCCGCAGGGAAGCUGUUAAGCCUGCCGCCUGGGGAGUACGAUCGCAAGAUUGAAACUUAAAGGAAUUGGCGGGGGAGCAC